RNAcentral lists this ribosomal RNA (468 nucleotides) under uncultured bacterium. RNAcentral's name for it is "partial 16S ribosomal RNA". It matches the Rfam family "Bacterial small subunit ribosomal RNA", at positions 28 to 507 of the family's 1533-position model. The record is from RNAcentral.
GACGAACGCUGGCGGCGUGCUUAACACAUGCAAGUCGAACGGAAAGGCCCUGCUUUUGUGGGGUGCUCGAGUGGCGAACGGGUGAGUAACACGUGAGUAACCUGCCCUUGACUUUGGGAUAACUUCAGGAAACUGGGGCUAAUAUCGGAUAGGAGCUCCUGCUGCAUGGUGGGGGUUGGAAAGUUUCGGCGGUUGGGGAUGGACUCGCGGCUUAUCAGCUUGUUGGUGGGGUAGUGGCUUACCAAGGCUUUGACGGGUAGCCGGCCUGAGAGGGUGACCGGCCUCAAUGGGACUGAGGGACGGCCCAGACUCCUACGGGCGGCAGCAGUGGGGAAUCUUGCACAAUAGGCGGAAGCCUGAUGCAGCGACGCCGCGUGCGGGAUAACGGCCUUCGAGUUGUAAACCGCUUUCGCCUGUAACGAAGCGUUAGUGACGGUAAUGAGUAAAGAAGCACCGGCUAACUACGUG